AGAGACUGCGACAAUAGCGAGAAUGUGUGCGACAACAGGGUUUCAGGGUUUCAGAGAGGGAAAAUCAUGGUUGCAGUGAGGGAGGGAGAAUCAUAGUUGCAAUGAGUGAGGGAGAAUCAUGAAAUGAUGCGAGAAGGGGGACAAGCUAGGUUCGAGAAGGGGACAAACUUGGCUCGAAAGCGGGAGGGAGAAAAGCGAGAAGAGUUUAAUCAGAUUCUAUUAUUUAAUUCUAUUUUUUAAUUAUUAUCUAUUUCCAUAUCCGUAUUAAACAUCAGUAGCAAAGUCNCCCCCAAUAUUACCCACCGAUAUUAUAUACGGAUAAUNCGUAUGUAAUAUUUUUCUCCUUUAUAUACAGAUAAUCCG
This 363-nucleotide long non-coding RNA is filed under the name Vigna radiata. RNAcentral's name for it is "long non-coding RNA (VRAD_LNC000854)". The record is from RNAcentral. Lineage: Eukaryota; Viridiplantae; Streptophyta; Magnoliopsida; Fabales; Fabaceae.